Molecule: microRNA precursor, 59 nt
Filed under: Drosophila ananassae
Lineage: Eukaryota; Metazoa; Arthropoda; Insecta; Diptera; Drosophilidae
Description: Dan-Mir-92-P3_pre stem-loop
Source: RNAcentral
AGGACGGGAAGGUGUCAAGGUUUUGAAUUAAAUUAAACAUUGCACUUGUCCCGGCCUAU